Molecule: ribosomal RNA, 443 nt
Filed under: uncultured bacterium
Lineage: Bacteria
Description: partial 16S ribosomal RNA
Rfam family: Bacterial small subunit ribosomal RNA
Source: RNAcentral
CCUACGGGUGGCAGCAGUGGGGGAUAUUGGACAAUGGGGGAAACCCUGAUCCAGCGACGCCGCGUGAGUGAAGAAGUAUUUCGGUAUGUAAAGCUCUAUCAGCAGGGAAGAAAGACAUGACGGUACCUGAGUCAGAAGCCCCGGCUAACUACGUGCCAGCAGCCGCGGUAAUACGUAGGGGGCAAGCGUUAUCCGGAAUUACUGGGUGUAAAGGGAGCGUAGACGGUAAUGCAAGUCUGGAGUGAAAGGCGGGGGCCCAACCCCCGGACUGCUCUGGAAACUGUGUAACUGGAGUGCAGGGGAGGCAGGCGGAAUUCCUAGUGUAGCGGUGAAAUGCGUAGAUAUUAGGAGGAACACCAGUGGCGAAGGCGGCCUGCUGGACUGUAACUGACGUUGAGGCUCGAAAGCGUGGGGAGCAAACAGGAUUAGAUACCCGAGUAGUC